Molecule: transfer RNA, 75 nt
Filed under: Ruminococcus sp.
Lineage: Bacteria; Bacillati; Bacillota; Clostridia; Eubacteriales; Oscillospiraceae
Description: tRNA-Arg
Rfam family: tRNA
About the family: Transfer RNA (tRNA) molecules are approximately 80 nucleotides in length. Their secondary structure includes four short double-helical elements and three loops (D, anti-codon, and T loops).
Source: RNAcentral
GCGCCUGUAGCUCAGUGGAUAGAGCAUCCGCCUCCGACGCGGUGUGCGCUGGUUCGAUUCCAGUCAGGCGUACCA